RNAcentral lists this ribosomal RNA (851 nucleotides) under Fusarium croceum. Its description in RNAcentral is "partial large subunit ribosomal RNA". It matches the Rfam family "Eukaryotic large subunit ribosomal RNA", at positions 57 to 938 of the family's 3401-position model. Lineage: Eukaryota; Fungi; Ascomycota; Sordariomycetes; Hypocreales; Nectriaceae. The record is from RNAcentral.
AAAAGAAACCAACAGGGAUUGCCCUAGUAACGGCGAGUGAAGCGGCAACAGCUCAAAUUUGAAAUCUGGCUCUCGGGCCCGAGUUGUAAUUUGUAGAGGAUGCUUUUGAUGCGGUGCCUUCCGAGUUCCCUGGAACGGGACGCCAUAGAGGGUGAGAGCCCCGUCUGGUUGGAUGCCAAAUCUCUGUAAAGCUCCUUCGACGAGUCGAGUAGUUUGGGAAUGCUGCUCUAAAUGGGAGGUAUAUGUCUUCUAAAGCUAAAUACCGGCCAGAGACCGAUAGCGCACAAGUAGAGUGAUCGAAAGAUGAAAAGCACUUUGAAAAGAGAGUUAAAAAGUACGUGAAAUUGUUGAAAGGGAAGCGUUUAUGACCAGACUUGGGCUUGGUUAAUCAUCUGGGGUUCUCCCCAGUGCACUUUUCCAGUCCAGGCCAGCAUCAGUUUUCGCCGGGGGAUAAAGGCUUCGGGAAUGUGGCUCCCUCCGGGGAGUGUUAUAGCCCGUUGCGUAAUACCCUGGCGGGGACUGAGGUUCGCGCAUCUGCAAGGAUGCUGGCGUAAUGGUCAUCAACGACCCGUCUUGAAACACGGACCAAGGAGUCGUCUUCGUAUGCGAGUGUUCGGGUGUCAAACCCCUACGCGUAAUGAAAGUGAACGCAGGUGAGAGCUUCGGCGCAUCAUCGACCGAUCCUGAUGUUCUCGGAUGGAUUUGAGUAAGAGCAUACGGGGCCGGACCCGAAAGAAGGUGAACUAUGCCUGUGUAGGGUGAAGCCAGAGGAAACUCUGGUGGAGGCUCGCAGCGGUUCUGACGUGCAAAUCGAUCGUCAAACAUGGGCAUGGGGGCGAAAGACUAAUCGA